CCUACGGGAGGCAGCAGUGAGGAAUAUUGGUCAAUGGACGAGAGUCUGAACCAGCCAAGUAGCGUGAAGGAUGACUGCCCUAUGGGUUGUAAACUUCUUUUAUAUGGGAAUAAAACGUUCCACGUGUGGGAUUUUGUAUGUACCAUAUGAAUAAGGAUCGGCUAACUCCGUGCCAGCAGCCGCGGUAAUACGGAGGAUCCGAGCGUUAUCCGGAUUUAUUGGGUUUAAAGGGAGCGUAGGUGGAUUGUUAAGUCAGUUGUGAAAGUUUGUGGCUCAACCGUAAAAUUGCAGUUGAAACUGGCAGUCUUGAGUACAGUAGAGGUGGGCGGAAUUCGUGGUGUAGCGGUGAAAUGCUUAGAUAUCACGAAGAACUCCGAUUGCGAAGGCAGUUCACUGGACUGCAACUGACACUGAGGCUCGAAAGUGUGGGUAUCAAACAGGAUUAGAUACCCUUGUAGUC
RNAcentral lists this ribosomal RNA (460 nucleotides) under uncultured bacterium. RNAcentral's name for it is "partial 16S ribosomal RNA". It matches the Rfam family "Bacterial small subunit ribosomal RNA", at positions 338 to 795 of the family's 1533-position model. The record is from RNAcentral.